Long non-coding RNA from Dalotia coriaria, 1310 nucleotides. RefSeq lists it as uncharacterized. The transcript is spliced from 4 exons. The record is from RefSeq and is a predicted model, not a curated record. NCBI's taxonomy places the organism in Eukaryota, Metazoa, Arthropoda, Insecta, Coleoptera, Staphylinidae.
UGCCCAGUUGUUGUGUGGCCGGCACGCAACUCUUACUUCGUGCGAUAAGUACUAAUACUUAAAAGGAUAUUCGUGUUUCGUGUUGUAAAUUCGUUAUAUCGCGUUAUAUUUGCUGGAAUUUAGUGUUAAUAGACGGGUAUUAGUCGCUAAAUAUUUAUCGCGUGUAUAAUCUUCGGAAUUCAAUGUUUUCUGUGUUUAAUACAGUUUCGCGUGUAUCUGGGAUCGCUUGCCGUCGGACGCCAGUCGGCCAUGUUGUGUGAUUGUAAAUAAUAUUUUGGAGUUGUGCGAACCAUUUUUGUCUUCAGCAGAACACGACGGGCGGCUGUUCUACCUGUAUCUACUCGCAUUUGAUUUACCGUGUUCGAUACACUGUACUUGCUGUGCCCUAUCUAAGCUAAUAACCACUGCAUUGUACUUGCUGUGCCCUAUCUUAGCUAAUAACCACUGCAUUGGUAAGUUUUUAUUAAGUUGUAUUAUUCGGUCAAAUGUUUUAUGACCUGCGUCUUGCAAUAUUUUAAUUGCGGGUAAUAUAGAAAAUGAAGGAAACGACAAAAUUUGCCCUUUUCUUGCAAUUUUCAAAACACGCGGUGGAAAACAGGCUAUAUCUCGGGAACCCUACGUCAAAUUUUAGUUAUUUCGCGAUUUUAUUAUAGAGUAAGAGUGCAUUUUAAGAUGCACCCUUGAACCCCCCGCAAAAUUCUGUCGUAACUGCCUCAAAAUGGACGCUAAAGUUUGCCAUUUUCUUGCAAUUUUCAAAACACGCGGUGGAAAACUGGCUAUAUCUCGGGAAUCCUUCGUCAUAUUAAAGUUACUUCUCGAUUUUAUUAUAGAGUAAGAGAGCAUUUUUAAGAUGCGCCCCUAAACCCCCGCGAAAUUCGGUCGCAACUGCCACAACAUGGCUGCGAAAGUUUGCCCUCUUCUUGCAAUUUUCAAAACACGCGAUGGAAAACUGGCCAUAUCCCGGGAACCCUUUGUCAUAUUUUAGUUAUUUUUCGAUUUUAUUAUAGGGUAAGAGCGCAUUUUCAAAAUGCACCUCUGAACCCUCGAAAAAUUUUGUCGUAACUGUCUCAAAAUGGACGCUAAAGUUUGCGCCUUUCUUGCGAUUUUCAAAACACGCGGAGGAAAACUGGCCAUAUCUCGGGAACCCUUUAUCAUAUUUUAGCUAUUUGUCCAUUUUAUCAUGGGAUAAGAGUGCAUUUUUAAGAUGCACCCUUGAACCACCGCGAAAUUAGGUCGUACCUGCUUCAAAAUGGCCGCUAAUGUUUGCCCUUUCCUUUCAAUUUUCAAAACACGCGGUGGAACACUGGCCA